UCGAACGAAGCACUCUAUUUGAUUUUCUUCGGAAAUGAAGAUUUUGUGACUGAGUGGCGGACGGGUGAGUAACGCGUGGGUAACCUGCCUCAUACAGGGGGAUAACAGUUGGAAACGACUGCUAAUACCGCAUAAGCGCACAGGAUCACAUGAUCCGGUGUGAAAAACUCCGGUGGUAUGAGAUGGACCCGCGUCUGAUUAGCCAGUUGGCAGGGUAACGGCCUACCAAAGCGACGAUCAGUAGCCGACCUGAGAGGGUGACCGGCCACAUUGGGACUGAGACACGGCCCAAACUCCUACGGGAGGCAGCAGUGGGGAAUAUUGCACAAUGGGGGAAACCCUGAUGCAGCGACGCCGAGUGAGCGAAGAAGUAUUUCGGUAUGUAAAGCUCUAUCAGCAGGGAAGAAGAAUGACGGUACCUGACUAAGAAGCACCGGCUAAAUACGUGCCAGCAGCCGCGGUAAUACGUAUGGUGCAAGCGUUAUCCGGAUUUACUGGGUGUAAAGGGAGCGCAGGCGGUGCGGCAAGUCUGAUGUGAAAGCCCGGGGCUCAACCCCGGUACUGCAUUGGAAACUGUCGUACUAGAGUGUCGGAGGGGUAAGUGGAAUUCCUAGUGUAGCGGUGAAAUGCGUAGAUAUUAGGAGGAACACCAGUGGCGAAGGCGGCUUACUGGACGAUAACUGACGCUGAGGCUCGAAAGCGUGGGGAGCAAACAGG
Molecule: ribosomal RNA, 717 nt
Filed under: uncultured Lachnospiraceae bacterium
Lineage: Bacteria; Bacillati; Bacillota; Clostridia; Lachnospirales; Lachnospiraceae
Description: bacterial SSU rRNA
Rfam family: Bacterial small subunit ribosomal RNA
Source: RNAcentral